Molecule: ribosomal RNA, 301 nt
Filed under: uncultured bacterium
Lineage: Bacteria
Description: partial 16S ribosomal RNA
Rfam family: Bacterial small subunit ribosomal RNA
Source: RNAcentral
CAGCAGCCACGGGAAUACAGAGGGUGCGAGCGUUAAUCGGAUUUACUGGGCGUAAAGCGUGCGUAGGCGGCUUCUUAAGUCGGAUGUGAAAUCCCUGAGCUUAACUUAGGAAUUGCAUUCGAUACUGGGAAGCUAGAGUAUGGGAGAGGAUGGUAGAAUUCCAGGUGUAGCGGUGAAAUGCGUAGAGAUCUGGAGGAAUACCGAUGGCGAAGGCAGCCAUCUGGCCUAAUACUGACGCUGAGGUACGAAAGCAUGGGGAGCAAACAGGAUUAGAUACCCCUGUAGUCCCUGUCUCUUAUAU